AAUGAACGCUGGCGGCAUGCCUAACACAUGCAAGUCGAACGAAGCCUUCGGGCUUAGUGGCGCACGGGGUGCGUAACGCGUGGGAAUCUGCCCUUGGGUUCGGAAUAACAGUUAGAAAUGACUGCUAAUACCGAAUGAUGUCGUAAGACCAAAGAUUUAUCGCCCAGGGAUGAGCCCGCGUAGGAUUAGCUAGUUGGUGUGGUAAAGGCGCACCAAGGCGACGAUCCUUAGCUGGUCUGAGAGGAUGAUCAGCCACACUGGGACUGAGACACGGCCCAGACUCCUACGGGAGGCAGCAGUGGGGAAUAUUGGACAAUGGGCGAAAGCCUGAUCCAGCAAUGCCGCGUGAGUGAUGAAGGCCUUAGGGUUGUAAAGCUCUUUUACCCGGGAUGAUAAUGACAGUACCGGGAGAAUAAGCUCCGGCUAACUCCGUGCCAGCAGCCGCGGUAAU
Molecule: ribosomal RNA, 451 nt
Filed under: uncultured bacterium
Lineage: Bacteria
Description: bacterial SSU rRNA
Rfam family: Bacterial small subunit ribosomal RNA
Source: RNAcentral